This 795-nucleotide long non-coding RNA is filed under the name Marmota monax (woodchuck). Lineage: Eukaryota; Metazoa; Chordata; Mammalia; Rodentia; Sciuridae. The record is from RNAcentral.
UUUCUGGUUUCGCACCAUGGAGCAACCACCUUGUUCCACCACCUUGAAACCCCCAUUGGAUGUGUUUUAUUUAUUUUUUCUUGUCUGAUUGCUCUUGCUUGUAUUUCCAACACUAUGUUGAAGAAAACUGGUGAAUGUGGAUAUCCCUGCCUUGUAUCUGAUUCAGAGGAGAAGCUUUCAGUUUUUGUCAUUGAUUAUGAUGUUACUUGUGGGUUUUUCAAAAGUUGCCAGUGGAGGCAGAAGUGGUGUCUCCAGCUACUGCUACUUUUAAAAUCUAGGAUUGGACGGGUUAUGAUAGAACUGGAAGGCGCUAUAUCUGUGAAACUAUUGAUCCUGAAUUUAGCUGAAAUUACUGGAAUAAACUUCUACUUUAGAGGCAAAAUGCUGCUGCUAGUUGGAAAAGGCUGACAAAAGGAACAGUAUAUGAGAAGGAAAAAAAUCUCUUCUUCCUUCCAGCUGUCAAUAAUUUGGUGACAAAAACAUAGGAAACAUAAUCUUCAGUAUCUUUGUCUCAUGAUCUAUAGAGUAUAGAAGGAUGAAUUUGGAAUCUGCUUUGCUCUCUUUUCUAGUGCUUGUACUAAUUUUAUGUAUUUUAUAUAUUAUUUUUUUUCCUUGUGAUUCCUUGGGAUCCUAGCUAAUUUGUAUUUUUUACCAAUCAAAAGUGAACAAUAUUUUCUUUUUUUGGAGAGUAGAAGAAAUGGAGUGUGCAACAUUUGGUAAAAAAAUAUUUCCUGUACUCUUUUUCUUUCUUAAGUAAUUUUAAUCACAACUGGGAUGGGAAAAGAGGGCUUGCAU